RNAcentral lists this ribosomal RNA (275 nucleotides) under uncultured prokaryote. RNAcentral describes it as "partial 16S ribosomal RNA". It matches the Rfam family "Bacterial small subunit ribosomal RNA", at positions 524 to 798 of the family's 1533-position model. The record is from RNAcentral.
UACGUAGGGGACGAGCGUUGUCCGGAAUUACUGCGCGUAAAGGGCAGGCAGGCGGAUCCAUAAGUUUAUCGUUUAAGGCGUCGGCUUAACCGGCGUAGGGCGGUAGAUACUGUGGAUCUGGAAUGCGGUUGGGGAAGACAGAAUUCCUGGUGUAGCGGUGGAAUGCGCAGAGAUCAGGAGGAAUACCGAAGGCGAAGGCAGUCUUCCAAGCCGUUAUUGACGCUCAACUGCGAAGGUGUGGGUAUCAAACAGGAUUAGAUACCCGCGUAGUCCCU